AGUGAACGCUGGCGGCGUGCUUAACACAUGCAAGUCGAACGAGAACGGAUUAUAGCUUGCUAUAAUUGUCAGCUAAGUGGCGCACGGGUGAGUAAUGUAUAGGUAAUAUGCCUCUUACUAAGGGAUAACAAAUGGAAACGUUUGCUAAUACCUUAUACUCCUUAUUAACAUAAGUUAAUAAGGGAAAGAUUUAUUGGUAAGGGAUUAGCCUGUAUUGUAUCAGUUAGUUGGUGGUGUAAUGGCUUACCAAGACUAUGAAACAUAACUGGUUUGAGAGGAUGAUCAGUCACACUGGAACUGAGACACGGUCCAGACUCCUACGGGAGGCAGCAGUGGGGAAUAUUGCUCAAUGGACGAAAGUCUGAUGCAGCAACGCCGCGUGGAGGAUGACACAUUUCGGUGCGUAAACUCCUUUUAUAUGAGAAGAUAAUGACGGUAUUAUAUGAAUAAGCACCGGCUAACUCCGUGCCAGCAGCCGCCGUAA
RNAcentral lists this ribosomal RNA (484 nucleotides) under uncultured bacterium. Its description in RNAcentral is "partial 16S ribosomal RNA". It matches the Rfam family "Bacterial small subunit ribosomal RNA", at positions 29 to 523 of the family's 1533-position model. The record is from RNAcentral.